Molecule: RNA transcript, 4270 nt
Organism: Alligator mississippiensis (American alligator)
Lineage: Eukaryota; Metazoa; Chordata; Crocodylia; Alligatoridae
Gene: DLL4
Gene name: delta like canonical Notch ligand 4
Exons: 12
Source: RefSeq, a predicted model, not a curated record
GCUCGCUCGCUGCAGGAUUACUUCCCACCGGGCGGGUGGCGCCGACACCUGGAUUAUACCUCGCCCCGGCUGCGGGGCCACCUGGGCGGCUGGUGCGGCUUUGGGGCACCGCGAGCGCUGUGGUUGCGGCCGCGCAGGAUGGCAGGCGGGCGCCUCGGGGGCUGGACGCUGCUGCUGCUGCUGCUGCUGCUGGGCUUGCAGCAGAGGGCUGAGGGCUCCGGCGUCUUCCAGCUCGAGCUGCAGGAGUUCGUGAACCGGCAGGGCGCCCUGGCCAGCGGCAAGCCCUGCGCCCCGCACUGCCGCACCUUCUUCCGCGUCUGCCUCAAGCAUUUCCAGGCCGUCGUGCUGCCGGGCUCCUGCACCUUCGGCAGCCUCGUCACGCCGGUGCUGGGCGUCAACUCCUUCAGCAUCCAGGACACGGAGCGCUUCGACAGCCCCAUGCAGCUGCCUUUCAACUUCACGUGGCCGGGCACCUUCUCACUCAUCAUCGAAGCCUGGCACGCGCCGGCCAACUACCUCCCGCAAGGCUCCCAACCACUGCCUGAGGAUGGGCUGAUUAGCCAGAUGGCAAUCCAGCGCCCGCUAGCCGUAGGUGAAGAGUGGUCACAGGAUGUGCAGAGUGGGCCACAGACCCAGCUGCGCUACUCCUACCGCGUCAUCUGUAGCGACAACUACUAUGGCGACAGCUGUUCACGCCUCUGCAAGCGCCGCGACGACCGCUUUGGCCACUAUGUGUGCGAGUCCGAUGGCAGCCUGGCUUGCCUGCCUGGCUGGGCUGGCGAGUACUGCACAGAGCCCAUCUGUCUGUCUGGGUGCACUGAACAAAACGGGUACUGCAACAAGCCAGGAGAGUGCAUAUGUCGCCCAGGUUGGCAAGGCCGUUAUUGUGAUGAGUGCAUUCCACAUGUAGGCUGUCGCCAUGGGACUUGCAAAACACAGUGGCAGUGCAUAUGUGAUGAAGGCUGGGGCGGCCUUUUCUGUGAUCAAGAUCUGAACUACUGCACUCACCACAAACCAUGCAAAAACGGAGCCACCUGCAUGAACACUGGCCAGGGCAGUUACACAUGUUCAUGCAAACCUGGUUUCACUGGUGUUGACUGUGAACAUGAAAUCAGCGAGUGUGAUAGCAAUCCCUGUCGGAACGGCGGUAGUUGCACGGAUAUGGAGAAUGGUUACCAUUGCAUGUGCCCACCUGGAUACUAUGGAACUCACUGUGAGCACAGUGCUUUGACUUGUAUUGAUUCACCAUGUUUUAAUGGGGGCACAUGCUUAGAAAAGGAACAAGGAGCCAGUUACACUUGCCUCUGCCCCCUGGGCUUUACAGGAUCUAAUUGUGAAAAGAAAGUGGACAGGUGCACAAGUAACCCAUGUGCAAAUGGUGGUCACUGCUAUGACUUGGGUCAAAUCCGUGUAUGCCGAUGCCGUGCUGGUUUUUCUGGUCAGAAGUGUGAGAUAAACAUCAAUGAGUGUGCCCGGAGCCCAUGUUCCAGUGGGGGCACUUGUCAUGACCUGAUCAAUGAUUACACUUGCACCUGCUUGCCAGGCUACACUGGCAGGAACUGUGACAUCAAAACCACAGAUGAAUGUGCGUCUGGGCCGUGCCAGAAUGGAGCCACAUGCUAUGGUGGACUUUAUAGUGCCAACUUUAUCUGUAACUGUCCUCCUGGCUUCAUGGGCAGCCGUUGUGAAUUCCCAGUUUAUACAUUACCUGUUCCAGUUCCUCCCAGACCAGUUCCUUGGAUUGCUAUCUCCAUGGGCGUGGGGCUAGUGGCUUUGCUUGUACUGUUCUGCAUGAUAGCUAUGGUCAUCAGACAGAUGCGGAGGCACCCAGAGCAGGAUCGAGAGACUAUGAACAACCUGUCUGACUUUCAGAAGGACAAUCUUAUUCCAGCUUCCCAACUCAAAAACACCAAUAAAAAUAAAGACCUGGAGGUGGACUGUGGGCUGGAGAAAUCAAACUACAAACCUAAGAAUCAUACACUGGAAUAUAACUUGGUAAAGGAUCUGACAAGCAGAGCGACACAGGAGGAUAAAUAUUAUAAAAGUGAAAAGUGUUUAGGAGAGAAAUCUCCCCUCCGAUUACACAGUGAAAAGCCGGAAUGUAGGAUAUCAGCAAUAUGCUCUCCAAGGGAUUCAAUGUACCAGUCUGUUUUUGUGAUAACAGAGGAGCGGAAUGAGUGCGUCAUAGCCACAGAGGGAUAAUUAUUGCAGUUUUACCUUCACUUACUGUGGGAUAGGAGCGAAUGGAUGGAAUGCGGACUCCCAAGUGGUAUAAGGCUGAAGGCCAGCCCAUUUGCACCUCAGAUUAUGCCAGUAGAUGAACAUUCCUGCUGCAUUGUUUACAAUUCAGAACUGGAUUGGACUGUUUUUUAAUUAUAUGCAACUUGCUGCUCUCAGGAGGAGGAUGGAACUGGGUGAACUGGACAGACUGUGAAUUUUACUGAAAGAUGCAAUACACCUUUGUGCUUUUUAAUGCCCAUGUUUGAUGCAAGGAAUGUAACUGGCAAUAGAAAAGGGAGGAUACGGAGAGAGGGAUCAAGCAGGUGGCUUUGCCAGGUUUUGCCUAAGUUUUUAAAUGAUAUUGAGGCCAGUUCCUCAUGGACAGACCUGUGGCUUUCCAGAACUCCAGUUAUGGGAGGUGCUAGUAGAUGCAGAAGGCACAAAACUAUCACGGACGUUGCUGUAGAAAGCAUUCGUGAAGAAAAAGAUAUGUUGCUAUGCAGAUCACGGAUACAGAAUAAACGAGGUCUCCAUUUUUUUUUUUAUUUUUUUUUUCUUUUCUUUCUGGGUUUAAAAGUGCCUAAAGCAUGUCAGAGAAUCUAGAGAGCCCAAACAGACUCAACUGCCUCCUUUUUGCAGUACCUAAACAGUAUUGGGCAGGGGCUGCUGUUCCUCUAUUUACACUCCUUUUCUCCUGCUGCAUGUACUUCAAGAUAUGAGAGGGGAGAGAAGGAAAGGAGGAGAGACCCAGGAUUUACACGUCAUAUCAUCUGGUGAUGCGUUGGAGACCUGGUUGACCCUAGCAGUAGUUGUGAGCCAGGGUUCCAUCUCUGAAAUGAUAGAGGACCUAUCACAAAUUUUAAACUGGAGCAGGGGAAGGUGUAAUAACGAAUGCCUGCUGCCUCUUCAUCCUCAAUUAUGAGAAGAGACACAAGCCCAGCCCUAACUGAAAGCCUUACAAAUGCGUUUAAAAUCAAUCAGCUACUGGAACCUACACAAGCUGAGCUGCCUCAGCUGUUUUUUCAUGCCCUUUGCACUACCAGUGAUUGUGAAUAGAACUGACUAUUUUACUUCCCCUUCCUUAUUCCCCACAGCCCCUCCCUUUUGUGAGGAUUUGGGACUGUGUGGUGUUUUUUUGGAAUCUGGUGCCACCUUCAACAGCAAAAUGUCUUAAAGUACCAGCUUUUACUUUACUCUUUUCUCUUUUUUUUUUAAAAAAAGGGGGGGGGGGGGGAUCCUUCUGCCCAGUUGCAGAACUGCCUCCUCUUCCUUUCCCCCUUCCCCCCCCCCCCCCCCCCCCCCAACACUGUCCUUCAUUCCAGUUCCAAAUGCCCAAAACAGAAGUGGCUACCAGGAUCCCCUCUUCAAGGACAGGCCCAGAAUAGAAUUUGGAACUUGUCCUGUUUUGUUUCACUCCAACCCACAGCUACAGGGAUAUGGGGAAGCCUGCUCCUUGAUCCAGAGUUGCAGCUGUGAACUGGCAAGUUCAGUGCAGAUAGACUAUCUCCUUCUACAUGCAUACAUUUACAGCAAUAAUAUUUGACACCCAAUUGGAAAGUGCUGUGACAUACUCUAAUGAUAACAGGACCCUGGGGUAGAGCAGACUGAGGAGGGUGGAAACUCAAGAAAACCUAGGACUGUGCUUUCUAUAGGACAUUUGAUAUUCCUGCCCUUGUAAAUCCUUAUUGUUGAACUAUUCUGUCAACUGCCUUGAACUGUGCAGGCAACAACCUGUCAUUACAUCCACUACUGACCUUCUACUCUGACCACAUAAGAGCAAUUUGAAGAUAACCUUCAGAAAUCAAUAAUAUGGUUUUUAGUUUGUCUGUUUUGUAGUUUUAUUUUGAAGCCUAGUAUUUCAUAAUUUAAAAAAAAUCAGAAGCACUGAACUUUCUACGUUUUAUAACUUUAUUUUGUAUAUAAUGUAUAUUUAUAAUCAAAACAAAAGUGUAAAUAUGUUUAUUACUUCUCAUGUAAUGUUUUUAAUGUGAGGACAAAGUUUGAAUUUUAUUUUUUUUUUUUCAAACAAUGAAAAUAUCUUCCUGCUACA